AGAACGAACGCUGGCGGCAUGCCUAACACAUGCAAGUCGAACGCUCUUGAGGCUUCGGUUUCAAGGGAGUGGCGCACGGGUGAGUAGCGCGUGGGAACCUGCCCUGUUGUGGGGGAUAACCGAGGGAAACUUCGGCUAAUACCGCAUGCGCCCGGGGAAACCCGGGGAAAGAUUUAUCGCAGCAGGAGGGGCCCGCGUCGGAUUAGGUAGUUGGUAGGGUAACGGCCUACCAAGCCUUUGAUCCGUAGCUGGUCUGAGAGGAUGAUCAGCCACACUGGGACUGAGACACGGCCCAGACUCCUACGGGAGGCAGCAGUGGGGAAUAUUGGACAAUGGGCGCAAGCCUGAUCCAGCAAUGCCGCGUGAGUGAUGACGGCCUUAGGGUUGUAAAGCUCUUUCGCUCGGGACGAUAAUGACGGUACCGAGAUAAGAAGCCCCGGCUAACUUCGCGCCAGCAGCCGC
This 462-nucleotide ribosomal RNA is filed under the name uncultured bacterium. RNAcentral's name for it is "SSU rRNA". It matches the Rfam family "Bacterial small subunit ribosomal RNA", at positions 26 to 518 of the family's 1533-position model. The record is from RNAcentral.